UCGCCGCCCGUGACUCGGCGAGAAGUCCAUUGAACCUUAUCAUUUAGAGGAAGGAGAANUCGUAACAAGGUUUCCGUAGGUGAACCUGCGGAAGGAUCAUUG
Molecule: ribosomal RNA, 102 nt
Filed under: Oncidium morganii
Lineage: Eukaryota; Viridiplantae; Streptophyta; Magnoliopsida; Asparagales; Orchidaceae
Description: partial 18S ribosomal RNA
Rfam family: Eukaryotic small subunit ribosomal RNA
Source: RNAcentral